RNAcentral lists this ribosomal RNA (2902 nucleotides) under Clostridioides difficile. Its description in RNAcentral is "23S ribosomal RNA". It matches the Rfam family "Bacterial large subunit ribosomal RNA". The record is from RNAcentral. Lineage: Bacteria; Bacillati; Bacillota; Clostridia; Peptostreptococcales; Peptostreptococcaceae.
UGGUCAAGUUAUUAAGGGUGCAGGGCGGAUGCCUUGGCACUAGGAGCCGAUGAAGGACGUGAUAAGCUGCGAUAAGCUUCGGGGAGUUGCACGUAAACUUUGAUCCGAAGAUUUCCGAAUGAGGAAACUCACUUAGAGUAAUGUCUAAGUAUCAUUAAGUGAAUACAUAGCUUAAUGAGGGGAACUCAGGGAACUGAAACAUCUAAGUACCUGAAGGAAGAGAAAGAAAUUCGAUUCCGUAAGUAGCGGCGAGCGAACGCGGAUUAGCCCAAACCAAUAAAGUUUUCUUUAUUGGGGUUGCGGACAUAUCAUAACGAAGAGGUAUCGUAAUUGAAGAGGUUUGGAAAGACCCACCACAGAAGGUAAUAGUCCUGUAUGUUAAACGAGAAGACUUUAGAUAUGAUCCAGAGUACCACGGGACACGUGAAACCCUGUGGGAAGCAGGAGGGACCACCCUCCAAGGCUAAAUACUACCUAGUGACCGAUAGCGUAUAGUACCGUGAGGGAAAGGUGAAAAGAACCCCGGGAGGGGGAGUGAAAUAGAACCUGAAACCCUGCACUUACAAGCUGUGGAAGCACAUUUCUUGUGUGACCGCGUACUUUUUUGUAGAACGGGCCAACGAGUUACGUUAAGUAGCAAGGUUAAGCACUUAAGGUGUGGAGCCGUAGCGAAAGCGAGUUUUAACUGAGCGUUCAGUUACUUGACGUAGACCCGAAACCGGGCGACCUACCCAUGAGCAGGAUGAAGCGAAAGUAAAAUUUCGUGGAGGUCCGAACCCACGAGCGUUGAAAAGCUCGGGGAUGACUUGUGGGUAGCGGUGAAAUUCCAAUCGAGCCCGGAGAUAGCUGGUUCUCCCCGAAAUAGCUUUAGGGCUAGCCUCAAGGUGAGAGAUACGGAGGUAGAGCACUGAAUGUCCUAGGGGGUAUUGCACCUACCGAAGACUAUCAAACUCCGAAUGCCGUCAUCUUAUACUUGGGAGUCAGACUGUGGGUGAUAAGAUUCAUAGUCGAAAGGGCAACAGCCCAGAUCGUCAGCUAAGGUCCCUAAAUGUAAGUUAAGUGGUAAAGGAUGUGGGAUUGCACAGACAACCAGGAUGUUGGCUUAGAAGCAGCCACUCAUUCAAAGAGUGCGUAAUAGCUCACUGGUCGAGUGAUCCUGCGCCGAAGAUUUCCGGGGCUAAAACUUACUACCGAAGCUACGGCAUCAGUAAUGAUGGGUAGGGGAGCUUCCCAUACGGGUUGAAGCAUGACCGUAAGGACAUGUGGACAGUAUGGGAGUGAGAAUGUUGGCAUGAGUAGCGAGAUGUGGGUGAGAAUCCCACAGGCCGUAAACCCAAGGUUUCCAGGGGAAGGUUCGUCCGCCCUGGGUUAGUCGGGACCUAAGCUGAGGCCGAAAGGCGUAGGUGAUGGACAACAGGUUGAUAUUCCUGUACUACCGAUAACCGUUUGAGAGAAGGGAUGACACAGUAGGAUAAGCUAAGCACACUGUUGGUUAUGUGUGCCCAAGCAUUGAGGCAGUCAAAGUAGGCAAAUCCGCUUUGAUAAUGCUGGGAUGUGAUGGGGAGCGAAAUUUAGUAGCGAAGUAGCUGAUUUCACACUGUCAAGAAAAGUCUCUAUCGAGGUUAAAGGUACCCGUACCGCAAACCGACACAGGUGGGUGAGGAGAGUAUCCUAAGGCCAGCGAGAGAACUGUUGUUAAGGAACUCGGCAAAAUGACCCCGUAACUUAGGGAUAAGGGGUGCCACCAUCAGGUGGCCGCAGAGAAUAGGCCCAAGCGACUGUUUACCAAAAACAUAGGUUUCUGCUAAGUCGCAAGACGAUGUAUAGGAGCUGACGCCUGCCCGGUGCUGGAAGGUUAAGGGGAUCUGUUAGAGCAAUCGAAGCAGUGAACUUAAGCCCCAGUAAACGGCGGCCGUAACUAUAACGGUCCUAAGGUAGCGAAAUUCCUUGUCGGGUAAGUUCCGACCCGCACGAAAGGCGUAACGAUUUGGGCACUGUCUCAACAACAGACUCGGUGAAAUUGUAAUUCCGGUGAAGAUGCCGGAUACCUGCGACAGGACGGAAAGACCCCAUGGAGCUUUACUGUAGCUUGACAUUGGGUCUUGGUACUACAUGUACAGGAUAGGUGGGAGGCUUUGAAACCAGGACGCCAGUUUUGGCGGAGCCAUCCUUGGGAUACCACCCUUGUAGUACUGGGACUCUAACCAUAGGCCAUGAAUCUGGUCUUGGGACACUGUCAGGUGGGCAGUUUGACUGGGGCGGUCGCCUCCCAAAAGGUAACGGAGGCGCUCAAAGGUUCUCUCAGUACGGUCGGAAAUCGUACGUAGAGUGUAAAGGCAAAAGAGAGCUUGAUUGCAAGACAUACAGGUCGAGCAAGGAUGAAAAUCGGACUUAGUGAUCCGGUGGUUCUGCGUGGAAGGGCCAUCGCUCAACGGAUAAAAGCUACCCUGGGGAUAACAGGCUUAUCUCCCCCAAGAGUCCACAUCGACGGGGAGGUUUGGCACCUCGAUGUCGGCUCAUCACAUCCUGGGGCUGUAGUAGGUCCCAAGGGUUGGGCUGUUCGCCCAUUAAAGUGGUACGCGAGCUGGGUUCAGAACGUCGUGAGACAGUUCGGUCCCUAUCCGUCGCAGGCGUAGGAAAUUUGAGAAGACCUGUCCUUAGUACGAGAGGACCGGGAUGGACGUACCUCUGGUGUACCAGUUGUCCUGCCAAGGGCAUGGCUGGGUAGCUAUGUACGGAAUGGAUAAGCGCUGAAAGCAUCUAAGCGCGAAGCCAACUUCAAGAUAAGAUUUCCCACCGCAAGGGUAAGACCCCAGAAAGACUAUCUGGUUGAUAGGUCGAAGGUGUAAGUGCAGCAAUGUAUUUAGCUUAUCGAUACUAAUAGGUCGAGGACUUGACCAAU